RNAcentral lists this ribosomal RNA (141 nucleotides) under uncultured bacterium. Its description in RNAcentral is "partial 16S ribosomal RNA". It matches the Rfam family "Bacterial small subunit ribosomal RNA", at positions 313 to 452 of the family's 1533-position model. The record is from RNAcentral.
CUGGUACUGAGACACGGACCAGACUCCUACGGGAGGCAGCAGUGAGGAAUAUUGGUCAAUGGAGGCAACUCUGAACCAGCCAUGCCGCGUGAAGGAUGACGGCCCUAUGGGUUGUAAACUUCUUUUAUAGAGGAAGAAACU